Molecule: long non-coding RNA, 13238 nt
Organism: Diospyros lotus (date-plum)
Lineage: Eukaryota; Viridiplantae; Streptophyta; Magnoliopsida; Ericales; Ebenaceae
Exons: 5
Source: RefSeq, a predicted model, not a curated record
CUUAUUUUUGAAGUUGAUCUUAUUCCCUCUUUGAAAUAUUUUUUGGGAUAAAUGCUUAAAAAGAGUUAUCAUAUCCGAUUCAAAAAUGGUUAUCUUACUUUGAGAGAUGAAACAAAUAGCUUGAUUCCGAAGGUGCCUAUGGCAAAGAAUAGGAUGUUCCUGUUUAACAUUCAAGUCAAUCAUUUGAAAUGCUGAAAAUUUGUGUAAAAGGACACAUCUUGGUUGUGGCAUUUGAGGUUUGGUCACUUGAUUUUUGGUGGUCUUAAAGCUUUGGUGGAAAAGAAGAUGGUGAACAUGUCUGUUAUCAGCCAUCCCAAUCCCCAAUCAAUUAUAUCAAGGAUGUCUCUAUGGCAAGCAAACUAGGAAAAUUUUUCCUAAGGAAGCCACGUGGAGAGCAAAUCAACCGCUCCAACCUGUACAUGCAGAUGCGUGUGGACCAAUGAAGCAAACUUCAAGUGACUUUGAGGUUGCAUUUGGAACUUCUUUCUGCUGAAAAUUCCGUGUCUGCUCUAAUUGCCUCAGGAGUUAAUGGAUGUGAUCGUAUGGCCCGUCUUUAUGGUGGAAUACCUGCUUAUUCAUGGUUCUGCAUUGAGACCUGGUUUUGAUCUUUGUAAAUUGAAUGUACUUGACAGCGGCCACUACAAACAACCAGCACCAGUAAAGAUUGAGAUACGUUGGUGUCCAUGCAAUGAUGUGAUUGAAAUGCAAGCCAUAAGGUUAGAGCUUAAUAGACGAACCCAAACACAAACUAAAGCUUGGUCUUUGUUCAAAAUGGAAAAACAAAGGCUAUCUUGUUGAAACCAUGGGCUAUAUUGUCUCAAUUGAAGAUCGGCUGCAUGGUUUGCUAUCGGGCCCAAGGCAAAGUUCACAAUAUACCAAGAUUUGGCGCAAGAGUAUUGUCAAGGCAUCUGAUGUACUUCAUUGAAACAUUUUCUGCUCAUGCCGUACAAAGAUGGAAGGCAUAUCAUAUCCUAUUAGUUCAGAAUUUGCUAGAAGAAGCCAAUAUAUUGCUUGGCGAGCUGUUGCAUUCAAAAAUUGUGGAACAACUUGCUCUCCAGGGAAGCUGUGAGCUACCAGCAUUGUAAAGGUAAAUAUAUACUUGAUUACAAGAAAACUUUCACAAAUUUUUAUUAUAAGGUAAAUAUUUGAUUAAUUACUUGGCCAACCAUCUCACUGAUUCUGUAUUCAAUUAGUAAAAGCUAGUUUUGUUGCAUUUUUGUCUUGUCUAAAAUUAGUCCUGAAGCUUGUGUAUCUAUUGGUCAUAAGCCAGGAUUGAUACUAAUUUGAGCUACCUGUAGAGUCCAAGGUUGUUUUACAUUUAGGAAUGUACAACAAACGUGAGUUUGAAACAUAGUAUGGGGAAUGCUAUGUCAAUUAGAUGAUUGGUAUGAUGUAUGAUUCGAACUCUUAUGAUGCAUUUGAGGUUCUUUCUGUGAACAUGAAAACUUUGAAGCUCAACUUGAGUGUUAAGUUGUUGAAGGACAAUUGUUGUCACACUCCCCUCUAGGGAGAAGCAUGACUGAUCAUAUACCCCAAGUCAAAACUCAAGGAACACGAACAUUAGCAUCCACUGAUCUUCUUAAAUCAUUAAAACUCAGAGGGCCAACAAUGACUUAUAUAAAAGCUUUUGAGUCUUAGCAUUAUAUGAUAAAUAAAGAAAAUAAGAUAACAAGAUAGUUCUAAUAGUCCACUUCUAGUCCCUCAAUCUGAGUCCAUCCCUAGGCAUCUUGCUGGUCACUUGAAAUAUAUUAAGUGGUAGGAUAAGUUUGACAUCUCAUUGAGGGUUUUCUACAUAUGUUAAAUCAUAAAGCAAAAGACACUACCUUUCAUGUGUAAACAAAUAAAUAUUUUCCAAAUAUUCCCAAUACAAUAGUUUAGAUCAAGUAACAUGCUAUAGCCAUGACAAAGUAACAAUUAACCAUUUCAAUAUAUAUAACACAAUAAGCACAUAAAAUCAUUAAUCACAUUUAAAUAAUAAAACCAUCAAUAAUAGUAUAUCAAGCUCUAAGAUCCUAUAUAGUGGGGGGAGGGGGGAACAGGAUCAAGCCUGGGUCCUAUCCUUUUAGUAUCCAAUGGAGUUGCCUCAUAGCAUUUAGCAUAAUGGUUCAAUAACAAGUAAUCACAAGCUAAACACUAGAAAAUAUCUUUUAUGUUCUUAGUUUAUAUCAUUUUUUAUCAUAUAAUGUACAAAAUCAAGUAACUAUGAGAACACAUAACAUUGUUUUAAACAUUUCAUAACAUGCAUCAGAAUACUUUUGAAAACAUACAUACUGCAAUAUAAAUACUCAUUUGGUCUUUGUAUUGUAUAAUCCCUACAAUCUAUUUUUCAAUAAUUUAUUCGAACAAACAUUGUAAUCUCAUGUUGAAUUUUUAAUCACUAUCUAUCUAAAAAUUUGAGUUAUUAAAUAGAGGAUUACUUUACCUUCUAUAUUAUCAAUUUGCUCUCGACAUCCCAUAUUAAUAAAAUUCCUUUUAUCUAAGAAAAUCUAGCCUAAAUGCAAUGUAGGAAUAUUUUCUUGGUUUUUGAAACUCAAGGGUGAUUCUAUCAUUACUAAGACCUACAGAGCUUUCCUACCAUUUACCAUACCUGAGGGUAUUUUUGUAAUUUUUGAAACUAAGGGGAUGUUUUGUAAUUUUUGGAAAUUUGGGGGUUUCGUAUGAUCUUAGAAAUUUGAGGCCUUUUAUGAAAUUUUCAAAAAAUUAAGAGUUCAAGUGUAAAUAACAUAAGACAUAGGGCAAAUUGCAAAAAUCUUAUCAUAUGGGUCGGGUCCACGGUCCAUUGGGUUAAUUGACUUUGUGAAAUUAGGUCUUUUUGCACCUUAUUUGUAAUCACCAAUGCAGAACUGUGAGUUCCUAUUCCAAAAAGAACCAUGCUACUUAUACACCUUGAGCUACACACGCGCACAAAUGAUUAAAAUACCCCUCGCGUCUUACCGCCUUGGGUGAGGGGUAUUUUUUUCAUUUUAGCUGCAUUGUGAAACCCAAGGAGUACAAAUAGUAUUUUCCCUUUCUGAUUAGCCAAGGCGUCGCGAGGGCCAUGUGGCCAUUAUUGAGAAUCAGGUACUUAGGUUUUUUCAGAUUUUUGGAAGGAAAAUGCUAUUUGUACUCCUUGGACUACACUUUGGGGUACACAAUGGAGCUAAAAUGACAAAAAUAUCUCUCACCCAAAGCGGUAAGGCGUGAAGGGUAUUUUAGUCAUUUGCGCGGGUGUAACCCAAGGCAUAGCCCUUGAUGUACAAGUAGCAUGGUCCAUCGGAAAGAUGACCAGCACAACAGUUUAUAACAGCAAAUAAAAUAAAUAAAGGAAGCGAGUUUUACUCCCGUUGCUUUCGCCGGUACGCCUUUUCUCUUUUUCUUCUUUUUUUCCCCUUCACAGUUGUGGACACUUCUCUCCCUCAAUCUCUGUUUUCUUUCUCCUUGUGAAUUAUCGUGAACCACCAGUUCUUGUCUACCCCGAUUUCUUCUAUUAGUCUUCGCAAACUCUCCAAAAUUCUUUCACUUCUCAGAUUGGGCAUACACUGCUCGAUGAUUUGCUGCCACCCCUUCUAUAACUGGUAUUUAUAGACCUUCACCUUCAAACCAUAUUGAAUUGAUCUCUACCAUCAUAUCUUUAUCUUUCCUCUCCCCUAACUUUCUCAAUGCCAGACCUUCGGCUGCCUCCAAUUGAAACCCUCACCAUCAAUUCCCAAUUUUAAUUCUUACAGCUUGAAUGUCCUCAAUCAAUUUCUGGUUUUGAUUCUUAGGGUUUUGAAUGCCUUGACUAUUGGCUUUUUAUUUUUGUAUUUUUUUUCCCUUAUGUUACACUUGUACUGCAUAUUUAUUCCUGUUUUCCCUCUUUUUGCUUUUUAAUUUUCUAUGUUCGUGUUUGUUUCUUGUUCUCUUGUUGCCUUUAUCGUCCUGAUCUCCACUACCGAUACUACUAACUUUUCAUUUUAUACAGUUUCAUUUUUUAAAAACAUACUAUCUGUCUGAGUUUUUAGGUAGGUUAGUGGUUAAUAGUUUAGUACAAAACCAGAAUGGGCAAAAGAUUUUCAUAUUUACUCUCUACCAACUCAAUAUUUGAAUAGUUCCACAUGUUUGUCCAAUUACGAAGGAAAGUUUGGCCUCACUAGGGGGAACGUGUUGUGUUAAGAGUAUUAAUGCUAUUGUAAUAUAUAUAUAUACCAAUUUCUUUAACAGCUUUAAGUUCUUAAAAUGUAUGGUGGAUAAUAAUUUAACAAAUUCAAUGUUUGGUCGUUUGAAGUCAGUUGUAUAUUGAUUAUUCUAUGUUGUUUUCAGUCUUUUGACACUUGCACUUAUUUUUUUGAAAGAAUUUAUUAUGAAGGGAAAAGAUCCAUUUGGUACAUUCAUGUCAUAAAACCAUUUAUGUCUAGUUUGGUACUAUUUUCUGGUAUUAGAACCAUUUGUUUUUAGUUUGGUAUGGUGUUUAUCCCAGAUUGAGAAAAUUACUUAUUGUUAGGAACAUAGGGUAUCUAAUUUUUCAUCUGAAUGGUUUUUCACCUGAUGUGCAUCCAGAAACUGAAUAUUUGCGACCCACCACUUGGUGGCUUCAAGUGGUUGCAACAUUUCCUUUUUAUUUCUGUUGGAUUUAGUUAUUUCACAAACUUUGAUGAACAUUAUAUAGACAACACUGCUCUUGUUCGCUAGAAAAAGAAAAGAAAGAAAGAAAAAGCUUCUUGAAGAUUAUUUUUGGAGUCUUAGUUGCUAUAGUUCAUGUUCCUAGGUUUGUUCUUAGUUGUUAUAGUUCCUAUUUUUCAAUCUUCUACACAAUGUACCUUAAAUUAUCUGUUGAAUGUUAGCAAAAUCAACUUAGAAAUGCUUUAAGACUGGUGUGGUAAUGGUUUAUGAAAUUUUUUUAUAAAUACUAUAAUUUUAAACUUAAAAUAAUGCUACAUGUUCAAAACAAUUUCUAAAAAUGCUACAACUCUAACGAUGUUGCAAUCCACAUUGUUACGGUACAAUAUGGCAUUUGGGUGCUUGAAUCUCGCUCCUCCCAGGAGCGAGAUUGAAAGAAACUUGCCCCUACAAGGGGCAUUUACUUCAUUGAUCACUAUCACCUUCUUCUUCAUAUUCCAUAUUUCAAACUAUCUCUGCCAGAUCAACGGAUCUCGUCACCACAAGUUUAUCCUCAGCAUAGGCACCAACGUCUUUCCCAAAGCUUGCAACAACGUCUUCAACUUCAUAUUUUUUCCUUAAUUUUUCAAUUUGUUCUCUGGUUCUCAUGCAUAACCUCCCUAUGCUUUCUUUAUUUGAAACCACUAUUCUCCAAAGCAUAAAUCCUUUGAAACCACUUCCUGAAACAAGUAAUGCCCUGUGGAUGCAACAAUCAAGCAUGAUGUAUAGGAAACUUGCUUCCACUUGUAAUAACAACAAUAACAACAAACUUAGAAUUCGAAGACAACUAUGUAUUACAAAAAUAAAAAUCAUAAAUGUAAUCCAAUUUGCUACUAAUCCACCCAAAAAAUCAAUGGAGACGGAAAGAGGCACACACAGACGUGGUUCAGAUUUACAAAAGGAAAAAUGGUAGCGAAUGACUUACAAGUGAUUUGGUUGAUUAACAUACCAACUCAAUUUGUGGUUUUAGGUGGGUUGGUUUAACAUGGAAGACGCUAGUGAUAAGGGCGAGUUUCAUUAAAUCUCACUCCUUGAGGAGACAUUGACUCUUUCUCUCUCUCUCUCUCUCUCUCUCUCUCUCUCCCUCAACAAUAGUUGCUAUGACCAAUUAGAUGAAAAAAUGCUUUUGUCAGUGGUUGUAACUUCUUAAGUGGUCCUACACUUCCAAUGAAUCUCAACAAUUGGGGUUUACCAACUUUCUUUCUUUCAUUUUAUAUGUUAUGAUGAGUUUGUAUCUAGUUAUACUGCUUCAAUUGGAGAUUUUUCCUAAUUAGUAUUAAUUAUAAAUUAAUUACCAAAAGAGUAUUCAUCCCAAACUACUUACAAAAAUAGUAUUGGGAUGGCAAUGAUCAUGCCACAUGGGCAACAAAUGUCCACAUGGUGAGGGUGAGGUAAAAAGGCUUGUGCUACAUGCUUUUUUUCCUUUUGAACUAGAAAGGUUCUUUCUUGGAGUGUUUAUAUGCUUUCAAUAACAAUUUUCACCAAAUUGUGUGGUGCUCUAUAAAACGCUUCAAAGAGGAUAGUUUCUAUCUUUCUGAAUAAAUGCUCCAUAGAUAUAAGCCAAAUCCACCCACCCACCCUUAGAAACUUUCCAAAUGUUGGAUGGUAAGGGUGGAGAACAAGAUUGCCUAUAAGAGGACUUUCCUAUAAAUGCUUGUAAUAGGAGCAUUUAUGGUGGAACUAUUAAAAAUGCCCCUUCCUUGAAGGCUUGUAAUGGGGGUUAGCUUAUAAACAUAUCUAGUAGGAACAUUUAUAUGUUAAAUCACUAAACGACAUCAUUUUACUUGACCCGAAAUCAACACAAAACCCAUUAGCAAUCAUAGUUGUCCAUCGUCCCCCGUUUAUUGUUGCAAAAACCCAAAACCUUUCUCAAGUCUAGAUCUCAACAUUCUUUCUAAAUCCAAAUCUCAAUUGCUCACAUCCUCUUUAACACACUCAAUUGUGCAGCCCACUUGUGGACCUCUCCCAAUCAAUCACAAUCUCAACAUUCUCUUCCACCCACGAUCAGUCUCUUCCACCUACAGUGGUGUAUAUACUUGGCACAAUCCAUAUUGAUAUAUGUACAAAUGCACACUUUGACACACAACUUUUAACUUCAUAUGUGUACAUUUUAUUAAUGUUUUAUAUGUAUAAAUACAUUUUAAUGUUGGUCUUAUUUAUGCCUCCUUUUUUUUGGUUUGUUGGGGAAUUUGAUGUAAUUCUUGUGGAAUUUAUCUUACAUGUAUGUAUGUGUAUGGAGGCUAAGACUAGGCUUAACUUGGUAUAUGUAUAUGUAUCAACAACCUUCUUGGUGCUAGAGAAAACUCAGAGAAAAAAGAAUGAUAAGGAUAAGUAACAUCUCACCUAUGCUAAUAAGCUUAGAUAUGCAAUAAUAGGCAUGGCUAAAGAAGGUUUAUCACCCAAAGGUUUGCUCUUUUUCUUUCAUUUUUUUCUCUCAUAUUCUUCUCAUUUUCAGUGCUUGUGCAAGAUAGAUACCCAAACCAUAAGGGUAGUGUUAUUAGAAUGGACACUGGGAGAAGUUCGCCCAACUUAGCAUGAUGUAUGUUGGGGGGGAAGAAAAAAUUGUUCAAAAUGAAGAUGGGAAAGACGUAUGAGGAGCUACUACAGCUUAACAUAUGAUAAGGUGGGGGGAUUGACUUGGAAUUGGAAGAAGUGAUGAUUGUGGUAAUCUUAACUUGGGGUGAUCGGACUUAUGAAGAUAUGACUAUAGAGCAUGAUAGUUGGUUGGUGAUGGCUAUUGAGGUCUUUCACAAGAUGCUUUUCAAGUUCAUAUGCAUCUACUUGAAUAAGAAAGCGAGACAACCUGUGAGAAUGAUAGCGAUUACCCAAGUGGAGAGUUGCCUAGUAACUUGCACCACAUUUAGCGCACCGCUCUGUUCCCAUAGCAUUGAGACCAUGAACCCGCACAACAAUAUAAACUUGGCUUGAGUCUACGGGCAUUUGAGACUUGUGGCAACAACAAUUCGCACAAUCCAGGAAUUGCCCUUGCCACGAGUCUCAAACAAUGUAUGGACACCCUAAGACUCUAGGCAAGUGAUCUAUUGUUGUACGGGUUUAUGGUCUCAAUGUUUGGGGUACAAAGCAAUGCACUAGUUGCAGAGUGGGCUACUAGGAAACUCUCCCCACGGGUUGUCCUUGCCGUUCUCAUGGGUUGUCUCACUUUCUUAUCCAAAUAGAUGCAUAGGAACUUGGAAAACGUCUCGUCAUGAACCUUAGUAGCCAUCUCAAAUGAACUACUAUCCUCGAUAAUCUUGUUCUCAUAUGUCCCACCACCAUGAGUCAAAAUUGCCACAAUCGUCACUUCUUCUUACUCCAAGUCAACAACUCCCACCUUGUCACAUGUCAAGCCUAGUACUUCCUCGUGCACCCCUCCCCUCCUUAUUUUGAACAAUUUUUGCUCCCCCAUGAUGUAUAUGAUGCAAGGUUGGGCCAACCUCUACCAGUGUCCUUUCUAUUAACACAAAACUCUUAUUAUAUGAGUAUCCAUCUUGCACAACCACUAAAAAUAAGAGAGAAACAAAGGAUAGGAGAAUAGCAACCUUUGAGCGAUCUAACUUUUUUACUCAUGCCUAUUACUAUAUAUCUAAGCCUAUUAGCAUUGGUGAGAUUUUACAUAUCUUUGUCCCUAAGUUUUCUCUAGUAGCAAGAAGGUAGAUGAUACAUGUACAUACAUCUACUAAGUAGUCCCUAGUUUCAGCCUCCUUAUAUUUACAUAUACAUACAUGUAAUAAAUUCCAAAAUAACUACUUUAAAUUUUCUAACAAGCAAAAAUGGGUUACAUAAAACCAGCUUUGGGAUGUAUAGAUAUGUAUAAAACAGUGACAAUUUACACAUAUAAAGAUGAAAAAUGCAUGUGCGUGUAUAUAUAUCAAUAUAGAUUUUGUCAAGUAUAUGCACAACCGUGGAUAAAAGAGAAUGCUGAGAUUGAUCGAGAAAGGUCCAUGAGUGGGCUUCACAAUCGUCGUUAUUGAUUUAACAUAUAAAUGCCUCUAUUAGAAGUCUAUAAACCAAGCAUACUAGAUACCUUAAAAACGCUCAAGGGGCGUUUCCAAUAGUUUCACCAUUCAAGCGUUUAUAAGCAAUCUUGUUUUCCACCCUCGCCAACACUUGGACUAUUUCUAAGGGUGUGUGGGUUUGGCUUAUAUCUAUGGAGCAUUUAUUGAAAAACAUAGAAAUUCUCCUAUUUCAAGCUUUUUAUAGGCCACCACGUAAUUUGGUGAAGAUUUUUGCUAAAAGCAUAUAAAUACUCUUAAGGAUUAUUUAUAGUUAUAAUGGAAAAACACUUGUUGCACAAGCAUCUUCAGCUAACAUUCAGGCGAUUUCUGACGGUGAUCCAAUGAUUCUCUUAGCUGCAACAAAGCGCGUUGAAUUAUCAGUGGGCGAUAUCAAGCGGUUGAUUCUCAGCUGAUAAUUGAGGCUUGGAAUUUGAAGGCGAAACAGAUUCAUAGAUGUUGAUUCUCGACUACUGCAUCUUGACCUAGGUUGUAGCUCAGACUUAAAGGCUAAGCCAGGCCAGGGGAAUUCUCGGCUAUUUGACCUAGGCAAUUGCUGUGAGGCGAUCGAUUAUCCAAUAGAGAGGCGGAUUAGGUUUACCGAAUUCAGGUUGCGGUGAACCGAUUGAGUCACAGGAGGCUAUUGAUUCAAGCAAUCCGACUUGGGAAACGAGCAAAGCCAAGCGAUCCCUAAAGCUGAUCUUAGGCGAUCCUCAGUUACUAAAGUUAGGUGUCAGGUAUUUUUUUUUUUUUAGACUGAUUCAAAGGCAGAUUCAAUUCGAAGAAUUUGAAUUGAGGAAAUGGCAUUGACAAAUAAGCUAUGCACUCCUUGUAAAGAAGUGUACAAUCAUUGAAGAAAACAUUCGACCAAAAGAUUGAAGUGUUGGAUGACUUGUUGAUCUAUCUUGCAAAGAAGUUUCAGGUGAUUCCGACUAAAGGAUUAUUCAUCUGUGAGAAGAUUUGUGACAUCCCACAUCGAGCGAUAGGAAAGACCGAAACAACUUACUCUGAUGGGCUUACGCAAACUUCCCAGGGGGUCAACCAUCCUUGAGCUUCCCCAACUCAAGCACACUUAAUUCGGGAGUUCUUUGUCUACACUCAACCCAAAAGGUAUCCAGCUGGUAUUGUUUCAUUCCUUACUUAUCCUCAAUAUAUACUACCCUUUUCUGGGCUCUCGGGGUAUUACAUUCUCCCCCCAUUGAGCACAUGAUGUCCUUGUCAUUGACCUUACAACUAGUCUCAUAUCUUCUUCCCUUUAGGGGUUGUCGUCCUAGAAACCUGCCAGAAGUCGCUCCUUGUAUAGGCCACCGAGCCCCGACGCCACUCCCUGCCCUCAUCAGACCGCCUUCACCAAGGGUCGGCUCUAAUACCACUUGUAACAUUCCGUAUCGAGCAAUAGGAAAGACUAAAACAACUUACCCUGAUGGGCCUACGCGAACUUCCCAGGGGUCAUCCAUCCCUGAGCUUCUCCAGCUCAAGCACACAUAACUCCGGAGUUCUUUGCCUACAUUCAACCCAAAAGGUAUCCAAUUGGUGUUAUUUCCUUUCUUACACUAUCAUCGAUAUAUACUAACAUUCUCUGGGCUCUUGGGGUAUUACAUUCUCCCCCCCUUGAGCACAUGACGUCCUCGUCAUACAACCUUACAAUUAGUCUUAGCUCUCUCCCGUCCAGUAUCCCCAGUCCAAUACCCCUAGCAUUUAGCUAGUACACGGUCCUCAGUCCAGUACCCCGAGCCUUUGGCUAGUACACGGUCCUAACACACGGCCCGGGUUGCUCUGAUACCACCAAAUUUCCUGGCAACUCCUUAUCAUGCACCAUAAUUUUACAAUCCCUAUAAAUUUCAAUACAUACCAAUUUCACAUUCCCCGACAUAGACACAAUCAAAGAAUACGGUAGUAAUGUUCUAGGAAUUGGAAUAUGACAUACAACUCAGGGUGCAACACGAGGACUUCCCAGGAUGUCACCCAUCCUUGAGCUUCCCAAGCUAAAGCGCGCUUAACCUGGGAGUUUUUUGCCUACAUUCAGCCCAAAAAAUAUCCAACUGGUGUUGUUUGCUUUUUUAAUUAUCCUCGAUAUAUACUACCCUUCUCUGGGCUCUCGAGGUAUUACACUCUCCCCCCAGUGAGCACAUGACGUCCUCAUCAUUGACCUUACAACUGGUCCCAGAUCUUCUUCUCUUUGGGAGCUGUCGUCCUAGAAGCCUGUCAGAAGCCUCUCCUUGGACGCCUUGAGCCCCAGCGCCACUCCUCGCCCUCAUCGAACCGCCUUCACUAAGAGCUAGCCUUGAUACCACCUGUAACAUCCUGCAUCGAGCGAUAGGAAGGAUCGAAACAACUUACCCUGAUGGGCCUAUACGAACUUCCCAGGGGUCACUCAUCCCUGAGCUUUCCCAGCUCAAGCACACUUAACCCGAGAGUUCUUUGCUUACAUGCAACCUAAAAGGUAUCCAGAUGGUAUUAUUUUAUUCCUUACACUAUUCUUGAUAUAUACUAACCUUCUCUGGGAUCUUAGGGUAUUACAAGAUUGGUGUUGGAUUACUUCCUCCGAAUUCUAACUUACAGGAGACUAAGGAACAAUAUGAAUGGGAAAAAAAUAUUGAUUCAUUAGAUAUUUUGGCUAUAAAUCAUUGUGGAGAUGAAAGUUGUGAUGAAGGCCAUGUUUCGGCCAUUGAGAAACCUGCUGAACUUUCUCAUCUCUUCCUAUGCAAUCAGGAUGUCCAGAUAGGAAUGAUAGUUGCAGGAGUAGUCACCCUACACCAUUGGAGGAAAAAUUUGUUGAAGAUAAAUAUUUGGUGUACACAAGCAAGUAGGAAGAAAAAGAUGUUGUGAAGUUGGGGAAGGUUACAAGCACAUCAUCUUUGGAAUUUGAAGAUUAUAAGGGGAAUUGGCAAGACCCCAACGAUCCCCAAAGAUAUAAUUGGAAUUAUAUAUUAUAUGUGUUGUAGUAGGUUGUACAUUGUUGUUCUACGUUGUUGUUGUUGUAGCCUAUAAAUAGGUUAGGUUAGGUUAGUUAGAGAAAAGACAUAGGAAGAGUGACAUUUGAAUUCUUAUUUCCCUCAUGAUGUGCUCGUAACCUUCCCCCAACUUCACUAACUUAUAAUCUUCAAAAUCCAAAGAUGAUGUUCAGAUCUCUCUUCCAAUCCCUCUGAUUCUCUCUUGGUUUUGUUCUGUCUGCAUUUCCCUCCCAAUUCUGUCUAAUCCUCCCUCCGUUUAUGUUCUCUCUUUCCCGAUUUCUACCAAAUUCCUCGGCAUUUUCCUAUUAGAACCCUAGGUAAACCCUAGGAUCAUAACAAGUAAUUAAGUUCAUAAUUAAUAAUGAUUAAGUUCAAAUCUCUCAUUUAGUAUAAGUACCACAAUGGGAACUCUGUGAAGGUUGAUACCAAGAACAUGAGGAUAUUGCACCUCGGAAUUAGUAAGAAAGUUAGUAAAGAAAUAAAACGCCUCUGAAGUAGAAAACUAAAAAGGAUACCAUAGUGUUACCUCUCCAAUGUUCUUCUAAGGAAAUUAAAUGUGUUGGUUUGCAAAAGAAAAGGCAUGGAGGACACAAGAAAGGAAACAAAUCAAAUCCUGGAAAGUGAUAUUAAUGAAACCAAAGAAAGGCACUUGGCGGAGGAAAAGAGCACCAAUGUAUCAUGCUUAUUAGCUCAAUGGUCUCUCAUUAUAAAAAAAAACAGAUGAUGAGCGAGUUAUGCACUUCAGAAAUAGAAAUUUUGUUGCCCAUUUGAACAGUUGACUAACCUCCUUGAUUAACCCAAAUGCACUCUCUAUAGAUAGUAGGAAUUUGGAUCGACGUAAAGGGUAUGUUUCUUGUGAAAUCUGCGGAGGUAUAUAAUAGCCUUCUAAAUUUUCUUUGUUAUUAUAUUGUGGAUUUAAGAUAAAUAUUUGGUCUUUGAAGCAAAAAUAUUUAUCAGCUCUAAGGUCCUUUUAACUUCGAGAAUGCAUUCAUUCACUAUUAAUCUGUUAAAUUUGUACAUUAUUUUCAAAUAUUUGGGAAAAUGGUAUCAUGGAGAUGCUUCUGGGCUUAUCGUGGAAAACAUCAAUAAUCUCAUUGGAGUUGGGUGCCACGAGUUUCGUAAUGGGCAUCUCCUAUUUGCCCCCAUUUACACACAAAGACAAGUGACAAGGCCUUGGCAAUUUGAAUAGUGAGGCAGUGGCCAACUCCAUUGUAGAUGAGGAUGUCUCAAAUGUUGUUGAUCUUCCAGCCAAGGAAUUAGAAGAGCAUAAGUUCUAUGCUAAUAGAUGCGAAGCUUCCGUCUUUUGAUGACAAGUCUAACCAGAUGGGCUGUGAUAGGAGGAUUGUGAAGAAGCUUUGAGAACAAAGAAGAUGCCUAUCACACAUUGUGACUGUUAAAGGAAAGAAAACAACCUUAGAAGCAGUAAAUUGAAAAAUCUGGGUGAGAAAUUGAUUAGGACAGUCAGAAUUCUUGGUUUCUGAUUGGCUCUUAUAUGUUGUAAUGUAAUGGAUUGCUUAGCUACCCAUUGGUAAUUGUUGUUUGUUCCAGAAAGCAGUUAGUGGUUAUAGUUAGUUGACUGAUUAAUGGGUUGUUUGAUAUUGGCAAGCCUAUGCUACUAUAUAUGCAUGUGUCGUUUUGUUAAUAAGCAGAGAAAACGUAUUUACUGUGUUGACACAGA